CAAUUUUGGAGAGAGAGAAACUCAAAAACUCUGGUACCCUUUUUCCGAUCAUCGAUUGCCGGAAUCAUAAUCGCUAGGUUUUCCGGCAUCUACGAUCGAAUCGGGUCGAAACAGUUUUGUAAUGGAUACGUACUGUUCGGAUUGCAAGAGGAACACGGAGGUGGUUUUUGACCACGCCGCCGGUGAUACGGUUUGCUCGGAGUGUGGGCUGGUGUUGGAAUCUCGUUCAAUUGAUGAAACAUCUGAGUGGCGUACUUUUGCUGAUGAGUCGGGUGGUGAUGACCCGAAUCGUGUUGGAGGACCCGUUAACCCGUUACUCGGUGAUGCGGCUCUUUCUACAGUGAUAUCUAAAGGGCCUAAUGGUAGUAAUGGAGAUGGUUCUCUUGCUAGGUUGCAGAAUCGUGGUGGUGAUCCUGACCGCGCGAUUGUUUUGGCUUUUAAGGCCAUUGCUACCAUGGCUGAUAGGUUGAGCCUUGUUUCUACUAUAAGGGAUCGAGCAAGUGAGAUAUAUAAGAGGCUUGAAGACCAAAAGUGUACAAGAGGCAGGAAUCUUGACGCUCUGGUCGCUGCUUGUAUCUACAUUGCGUGCCGUCAAGAAGGCAAACCCCGCACUGUAAAAGAAAUAUGCUCAAUUGCCAAUGGAGCUAGUAAGAAGGAGAUUGGCCGAGCAAAAGAGUUCAUUGUGAAACAAUUGAAGGUUGAAAUGGGAGAAUCAAUGGAGAUGGGAACUAUACAUGCUGGGGACUAUCUGAGACGUUUUUGUUCUAACCUUGGUAUGAACCAUGAAGAAAUUAAGGUUGUCCAAGAAACUGUUCAGAAGGCUGAAGAGUUUGAUAUAAGGAGGAGUCCUAUUUCAAUUGCUGCAGCAAUAAUAUACAUGCUAACACAGCUUACAGAUUCAAAGAAACCCCUGCGAGAUAUCUCAAUUGCAACCACAGUUGCAGAAGGGACUAUAAAGAAUGCAUAUAAGGAUCUCUAUCCACAUGCUUCCAAAAUUAUACCUCAAUGGUACCUCAAGGAUAAGGACAUUAAGAGCCUAAGCAGUCCCAAGGCAUAGAGGUUCGAUUUCUACAACACCUGCUGCUCUCGCUAAUCGUCUACCCUUUGGGGGAAGUGUGAUUUCUAUGUUAGGUAUAACGAUAUAUGUCGGUUAAUGUAGUAUAGAAUCUCCUGUUAUAAGGCCUAAAUCUUCAAGAGAGUGCCCAGAAUAGAGACAAUUAGAUAGAUGUAUUGAAGUUAUUAGGGUAGUGUGGUAUAAUAUGUUGAUCCCAUUAGUAAUCAGAUUCUUUUUCAUUUCCUCUUUUCUUCCCUCUCACAAUACAGAUAGGCUAAUUAAUUUCA
Molecule: unclassified non-coding RNA, 1341 nt
Filed under: Hevea brasiliensis (rubber tree)
Lineage: Eukaryota; Viridiplantae; Streptophyta; Magnoliopsida; Malpighiales; Euphorbiaceae
Source: RNAcentral